This 571-nucleotide ribosomal RNA is filed under the name uncultured Veillonellaceae bacterium. RNAcentral's name for it is "bacterial SSU rRNA". It matches the Rfam family "Bacterial small subunit ribosomal RNA", at positions 18 to 572 of the family's 1533-position model. Lineage: Bacteria; Bacillati; Bacillota; Negativicutes; Veillonellales; Veillonellaceae. The record is from RNAcentral.
CCUGGCUCAGGACGAACGCUGGCGGCGUGCUUAACACAUGCAAGUCGAACGGAGAUUCAGCAAUGGAUCUUAGUGGCGAACGGGUGAGUAACGCGUAGGCAAUCUGCCUUCUAGAUGGGGACAACAUCCCGAAAGGGGUGCUAAUACCGAAUGUUGUACCGUUUCCGCAUGGAGAUGAUACUAAAGGCGGCCUCUGAAUAUGCUACCGCUAGAAGAUGAGCCUGCGUCUGAUUAGCUAGUUGGAGGGGUAACGGCCCACCAAGGCUUCGAUCAGUAGCCGGUCUGAGAGGAUGAACGGCCACACUGGGACUGAGACACGGCCCAGACUCCUACGGGAGGCAGCAGUGGGGAAUCUUCCGCAAUGGACGAAAGUCUGACGGAGCAACGCCGCGUGAGUGAAGAAGGUUUUCGGAUCGUAAAGCUCUUUCGUUAGGGACGAACGUGCUCUUUGUGAAUAAUGAGGAGUAAUGACGGUACCUAAAUAAGAAGCCACGGCUAACUACGUGCCAGCAGCCGCGGUAAUACGUAGGUGGCAAGCGUUGUCCGGAAUUAUUGGGCGUAAAGCGCGCGC